GUGGUUGCUUCAGCAGCACAUAGACUAAAAUAACGAUACAGAGAUUAGCAGGGCCUUGUGCAAGGAUGACAUGCAAAUUCAUGAAGAAAAUUCUGAUUAU
Molecule: small nuclear RNA, 100 nt
Organism: Vulpes vulpes (red fox)
Lineage: Eukaryota; Metazoa; Chordata; Mammalia; Carnivora; Canidae
Source: Ensembl